CUCGAUUACAAGAGAACCAAAAUGGUUUGUAGUACAUAUUAGGUAUUGGUUAUUUCAUACAUUACAUAUAUACAUAUAUAUAUACAAUACAUAAAAUCAAGUCAAUUAGUUUUCUAGAUAAUGUACCAUAACAUUGGAAAUUGUUUUACAAGAGUCCUUAUUGAUGUCCCACAUUCCACCAAUCAAAUUAAAAUUACACAAUAAUUCCAACUCGACUGGAAUGGAUUUGACUAGACCCAAAUUCCCUCAACAUUGAAUGGACUUGACUCGUUGACUGAAUGAAUCGUUCCCCAAGGUGAUUCUAUUUAAACCUAUGCGUUACCUUCUAGAUGAGUAGCGAUCGAGGUAUUUCUGGAGUACAUACUAGAACACCCAAAGACGUCGUACCGGGGGGGUGUAUGGGUUUAUUUCGUAACAAUAUUCUUGUUGAAGAAAUUUGCGUUCAACUGACUCAAGUUGCUGUACACAGAUCGAAUAAAUAGGGUACCACAUCACCGCUGCAUAUUCAAUUUUUUAUCGAACCAACGAGUGAUUUAAAGUUAAUAACUGUUUGAAAAUUCCCAGUUCUGUCCAAAAGUUUCUCCUCUGGUAUGGUAGACAUACUGAGUUACCGUGCUCUUUUGCUUUAUUCCUAAUUUCUCAACCCUGCUCCUGAAGAUGUCACUUACAAAAGUGUGCGAAACCUUGAGCCCAAAAACUCAAUUAACACGGUCCCAACCCGGAAAACGAUCAUAUAAUAUAUAAACAUUAUUUGAAUAUUUAUUUUUCUGUUUAUUUUUAAUUUCAUAUAAUUUUACUGUUUUGUCUUGUUCAUGCUGUUUUGAACUAAUGACAAUAUGGAUCAUGUCCAGGAUAAUCAACUAGGGAGGGAGAAGAAUUCUGGCCUGAGGUCUUCAGCAGUCAAGAAGUGCUGUGGCGAUUGUGGGUAUUUUUUUUAGAAGUGAGAAGUGAGUAGUAGUUCGACCGUUCGACUACCGUAAGUACCUUUUGGGUCGCCUGCCUGUUUUGUACCGGUCUUGGAAUCGCCGCCCCCGGGCGAGAAACCGUGUCACCGCCACCGCGUUUUUUUUGACACCGUCUUCGCGCGAUUUCCAGAUCUCAAGGUCGCCGCCUCCAGAGCCAGGAGGAGCCCGUCUUGAGGGAAGUCGCCGCCCAGGAGGAACGACCGUGCCAGACAUUUAAUUUAAUUUUGUUUGUAAAACCGUUUUGUUAGAUAUUUAAGCUGUUUAGCCGUAAGUUUUAUUAUUUUUGUUAUAAAAUAUCCUUGCCGUUUUA
This is a long non-coding RNA of Zophobas morio, 1275 nucleotides long. RefSeq lists it as uncharacterized. Lineage: Eukaryota; Metazoa; Arthropoda; Insecta; Coleoptera; Tenebrionidae. The record is from RefSeq and is a predicted model, not a curated record. The transcript has 3 exons.